RNAcentral lists this ribosomal RNA (301 nucleotides) under uncultured bacterium. RNAcentral describes it as "partial 16S ribosomal RNA". It matches the Rfam family "Bacterial small subunit ribosomal RNA", at positions 509 to 807 of the family's 1533-position model. The record is from RNAcentral.
CAGUCGCCGCGGGAAUACGUAGGGUGCGAGCGCUAAUCGGAAUUACUGGGCGUAAAGCGUGCGCAGGCGGUUGUGUAAGACAGGUGUGAAAUCCCCGGGCUUAACCUGGGAACUGCGCUUGUGACUGCACAGCUAGAGUAUGGCAGAGGGGGGUGGAAUUCCACGUGUAGCAGUGAAAUGCGUAGAGAUGUGGAGGAACACCGAUGGCGAAGGCAGCCCCCUGGGCCAAUACUGACGCUCAUGCGCGAAAGCGUGGGGAGCAAACAGGAUUAGAUACCCGGGUAGUCCCUGUCUCUUAUAC